CUACGGGUGGCAGCAGUGGGGAAUAUUGCACAAUGGAGGAAACUCUGAUGCAGCAACGCCGCGUGGAGGAUGACACUUUUCGGAGCGUAAACUCCUUUUAUAUAGGAAGAAGAUGACGGUGCUAUAUGAAUAAGCGCCGGCUAACUCCGUGCCAGCAGCCGCGGUAAUACGGAGGGCGCAAGCGUUACUCGGAAUCACUGGGCGUAAAGAGCGUGUAGGCGGAUUAAAAAGUCAGAAGUGAAAUCCUAUAGCUUAACUAUAGAACUGCUUCUGAAACUCUUAAUCUAGAAUAUGGGAGAGGUAGAUGGAAUUUCUGGUGUAGGGGUAAAAUCCGUAGAGAUCAGAAGGAAUACCGAUUGCGAAGGCGAUCUACUAGAACAUUAUUGACGCUGAGACGCGAAAGCGUGGGGAGCAAACAGGAUUAGAUACCCCGUGUAGUC
This 440-nucleotide ribosomal RNA is filed under the name uncultured bacterium. Its description in RNAcentral is "partial 16S ribosomal RNA". It matches the Rfam family "Bacterial small subunit ribosomal RNA", at positions 339 to 795 of the family's 1533-position model. The record is from RNAcentral.